Mustela erminea (ermine) is the source of this 5028-nucleotide RNA transcript. It is a transcript of the gene named FLVCR heme transporter 1, with no coding region annotated. The record is from RefSeq and is a predicted model, not a curated record. NCBI's taxonomy places the organism in Eukaryota, Metazoa, Chordata, Mammalia, Carnivora, Mustelidae. The transcript is spliced from 13 exons.
GCUCUUGGGGCGGGGCCUGGAGCAGGGUGACCGCAGGCCUGGAGGAGCGCGAGGACAGCUAUUGCGCCCGCGGCCUCCCGUAGCGCCGGCUGGGUUUUGCGGGUCGCACCCAGGCUCACCCGGCCAGGGAAAAGGGUUGCAUGAGCGGUGGUCCAAAGGGUUGGGGUUGGGGUGCCGGGAGGGCCUCGGGUCGUGGGCGGGGGGCUGCGGGGAGGGGAAGGAGGGCCGCGGCGCGGGGGAGCGCAGGGACAUGGCACAGCUGGACGAUGAGGAGGGGGCAGCGGUGGCACCCGGGCACCCGCCCGCGAAUGGAUACCUCCUGGUCCCGGGGGGCGAGCCCCUCGGAAAGCUAAGCGCGGAGCCGCAGAACGGACUCAAAGCCGGCUGCCUGACCCUGAAUGGAGUGUCUCGGGACAGCCUCGCGGCCGCCGCUCAGUCCCUCGGCGGGCCCCAGACUCCGCUGGCUCCAGAGGAGGAGACCCAGACACGGCUGUUGCCCACGGGCCCCGGGGAGGAGACCCCCGGGGCCGAGGGUUCCCGGGUGCCCCAGACGGCGCUCUCUGCGCGGCGCUUUGUGGUGCUGCUGAUCUUCAGCCUGUACUCGCUGGUGAACGCCUUUCAGUGGAUCCAGUACAGCAUCAUCAGCAAUGUCUUUGAGGGCUUCUAUGGCGUCUCCUCCCUGCACAUCGACUGGCUGUCCAUGGUGUACAUGCUGGCCUACGUGCCCCUCAUCUUUCCGGCCACGUGGCUGCUGGACACCAGAGGCCUGCGGCUCACCGCCCUGCUGGGCUCCGGCCUCAACUGCCUGGGCGCCUGGAUCAAGUGCGCCAGUGUCCAGCAGCAUCUCUUCUGGGUCACCAUGCUGGGCCAGUGUCUCUGCUCCGUGGCCCAGGUGUUCAUCCUCGGCUUGCCCUCCCGCAUCGCCUCGGUGUGGUUUGGCCCCAAGGAGGUAUCCACAGCUUGUGCCACUGGCGUGCUGGGCAAUCAGCUUGGAACUGCUGUUGGCUUUUUGCUACCACCAGUUUUAGUGCCCAACACACAGAAUGACACAGAUCUGCUGGCUUGUAAUAUCAGUACCAUGUUUUAUGGGACGUCAUCCAUCGCCACGUUUUUAUGUCUUUUAACAGUAAUUGCAUUCAAAGAAAAACCUCAGUAUCCACCAAGCCAGGCGCAAGCAGUUCUUCAAAAAAGCCCCUGUGCUGAGUACUCCUAUAAGAAAUCAAUAAGGAACCUAUUUAAAAACAUUCCUUUUGUCCUUCUGUUGAUCUCUUACGGUAUCAUAACGGGAGCAUUUUACUCAGUCUCAACAUUAUUAAAUCAAAUGAUACUGACAUAUUAUAAGGGAGAAGAAAUCAAUGCUGGAAGAAUUGGGCUAACAUUGGUAGUGGCUGGAAUGGUGGGCUCUAUUCUUUGUGGCUUGUGGCUAGAUCAUACCAAAACAUACAAACAGACUACUCUGAUAGUUUACAUUUUGUCUUUUUUGGGAAUGGUUGUAUUUACUUUCACGUUGGACCUUGGAUACAUUAUCAUCGUGUUUGUUACUGGAGGGAUACUCGGUUUCUUCAUGACUGGUUACCUCCCAUUGGGUUUUGAAUUUGCUGUUGAAAUCACUUACCCUGAAUCUGAAGGUACUUCCUCUGGUCUUCUUAAUGCUUCAGCCCAGAUAUUUGGAAUUUUGUUCACAUUGGCUCAAGGAAAGCUCACAUCAGACUAUGGUCCUAAGGCAGGGAACAUUUUCCUUUGUAUUUGGAUGUUUCUAGGCAUCAUUUUAACAGCAUUAAUCAAGUCUGAUCUCAAAAGACACAAUAUAAACAUAGGAAUUACGAACGGUGAUAUUAAAGCUGUACCAGUUGAAGAGAGUCCCACAGAUCAAGAAUCCAAAACCAUGAUGAUGUCCAAGCAGUCAGAAUCGGCAAUUUGAGGCGAAGGAAAAAGUUAACAUUAUGUGAUAGUUGAGCAGCCCCGGGAAAGCAUCCGUCACGGCGUGUAGAGUAAAAACAUGUCCUCUGGGAACCUAAAGUCUAAGGUUUGUGGUGAGGAUGAAAUUUAAGUAGAAGACACACCGGAGAUCCUUAACCAAGAGAUCCAUUGUCACACCCCCGGUGAGAAACAGUAAAGGCCCUGGGAAACCGAAGCAUUCGUUGGGCUCGCUUUUCUGUGAUAGUCGAGCUGCGGUGGUGGUCUGGAACCGAACCCGCGGCACCUCCGAGGUAAGCCUGGUCCGGGGAGGUUGGUGGAUAGUUUGACUCAGCUUAACCGUCUUGCACAACUUGUGUCAGAUGGGGAAAGUCAGCGUGUUUUGGCCGAAGACUGCUCCUCAGCGGAAUCUGUGAGCCACGCUGGUGGUCCCCCGUUGUGUCCUCCAACCGUGCUUGCUGCCCCAGGCCUGUCCCGGUGCCACCGUGGGAGGCGACCUCCCUUCCACAGGCAGCCGGCGGCUCAGCCGUGUGCUUUCUCCAACCCCAUCCCUGCUGACCCCAAAGCGAGAUGGCUGAGGCUGCUCUGACCGGAGUCGCCCGGGGGUCAUCCACAGCACCCCUGGCCAUGCCUCACAGCCCAGGGCUCCGGGCUUGGAACAUGGCCUAUGCUAACCAAAGGUUCUCCAACUCCAGUGCCCUCCGAGUCACCUGGACCCUUACUGAGACACAAAGUGCUGAGUCCCAAGCCCAGAGGUUCUGAUUCGGCAGGUCUGAGGCGAGGCCCAAGAUUACAAAUUCCUGGUACGUCCCCAGGUGAGGAGACGCUGCUGGUCCCAGGACCACACUAGAAGUGGGAACAGCUUUCCGGCCGCUGCCAGCUGGCCUUGCCUCCCCGGGCGGGCUGAACACACACAUGGCCUCUUCAGGUGGUCUACCUGGGCUCUGCGCCCCUCCCCCAGAGGCUCCCCUUAGCUGCCCCAGAAAUGCUCCCUGGGGCGUGUGUGGAAACAUGACCUGGUUGUUCUUUUCACUGUCCAGAUGGGAGGCUUUUGUGUGUCCUCAGUGAAGAGGAACAAGGUAGGGAUCUGGUUUCUCAGACUCCAGGCCGGUUCGGAGCCCAGCAGGUGCAUCGCGGACGAUGGCGGGGAAGGAGGGCAGGUGGUGCCACUGGCCCAUCUCCAGCCUGCGGGGACCAGAGCCAGAGGCCUCGGCUUCUGUUCGGGAACAAACUUCCUCCCCCAGGGAGCCCGGGGAGGGCCAGGCUGACCCCUGGGGAGUGUCAGCCUUCGCUGCUCCCUGUCAACACUGUGUCUUGCGCCCCUCCCCUUUCCUCCGGACUCGGACAGUGUCAGGAAACAGGGCGGGUUCCAGGUGGGAGCAGGGGCACCGGGGCUAGAAAAACUGGCUUCAAGGAAAGCAGUUUCCUCGCCGGUGAAGACAGCAGACACCCCAUCCCCACAGCCCCUGACUGCCACUAAGCCAGGAAAGCAAGCAGCACCCUUACCUGGUCCGGAGAGAAGGCAGCAAAGGACAGAAGAGGGGGGAGGGGGAGGGGGUGGGGGGUAGCGACUCACCCCUUCCCACAGGGAGAACUCCUGGGUUGAAGCAAGCACCUUUCUUCUGAGAGAGAAACCUGGGGACGCAGACAUGGGGAAUUUGAGCAAAGAGAAGGCAAGUGUGGUUGGGGCGGUGGGGAAGCCGGUGCCUGGUUCACGCUCUGGUACUUUGGCGAGGACAGAGGUGGGCAGAGGUGAGGCAGGCAGGGAGCAGGUGAGGGCAGGCUGCCCGCAGAAUUGGAGCUUGAGCCGAGUCUGACAGGAGCAGCCACCUGUGCCCCUUGAGAGACCUCCUCCACUUCCCUGUCUUUCCCCACAGGGCCAGGCGGGUCUGUCCGUAGCAACAGCCCCGAACGCGCUGAGAGGCCGACCUUCCCCCUUCUCCGCUCCGUCUCCAGCCUCCUCCUGCACAGUCCGGGCCGACUUUCCUUCCUGAAGGACACGUGGCUGGGAGGUUUUGCCCGUUCCUUCACGUCAGCACCCUCCCCGGACAGAUGUGCUCUUUGGAAACGGGAAAGAUUCUCCCGAAAUAGAGGAGUUUGCAGGAAGUCUGUCCCGCAGAGCAGACCAGAUCCCAUGAGCACUCCGGUCCGAGGCUCACACGUAGCUUCCCGACAGUAACUAGGGAUGCCUUUGAUUAAAAAACCAAACCAAACAAAAAAACCCCACAGAUGGUUCAAGCCGGUUCCCAGAAACUGACUCCUCGAACUGGGGAUGGGGCUUUGGAAGUUUUCACGAGCAUCUGACGAGCCCCCAAAGCAACUGGGCUGUGGCCACCUUUGCCUAGGAAGGCUCUUACCGCCUGUUGGGGGGCUACCGGGGCUGUUGGUACGUGGGGAGGUUCCUCCUGAAACAGUGCUUUGGGGGCUCAGAAGAUCCAACAACAGGUCUGGGUUAGGAAGGAGCCCCCAGAUGACCAACCGAAGCAUCAUCCAGGGCUGGGGGGAGGGCUCGGUGUGGCCCCUCUGUGGAAGGCUCCAUGGGCAACAUCGCCGACCCAACGGCUAGCAGUGCUGGCCAGGCUCCCCACUAAACAGUUAGGGUCCUACCUUAGGAGGGGAUAAUAACAAGCCUCAUCUGUUGAGAACAGUCCCCAAAGUCGUUCAUGCGCAUGAUCUCAUCUGCCCCCGUGACGGAGGCCACUUUGGUUCCUACAACCACAGCAGCUCUGAAAGAAGGCUGGGCUUCAGCCGAGACCUGCCUCGAGUUUUCCCAUUCACCCCCGCCCCACAGGCCUGUAGUCUAAGUAAAAUGGUGUAUAUGUGCUUGCAGACAAUUUCCCAGCACCCCCACCUCCCUCCUGAGGGCCCCCUAAGUGCCUCCUAUGGAAAAUUCUGGAGCCUCACUAAUUACAACCAUUUUGCGGAAGAAUAAACUCAGACUCAGCCUUGCCAAGAGUUGCAUAGCUAGGAAAGAAUGGAGUCAGGGCCCCGCUCCUCCCCCCCUUGGGAAGAUUGCCCAGGGAAGGCCUCUCUCCUAGCCUCUGCUGCCUCCUCUGGGAAAGGGAGGUCAGAACCUGCAGGUCAGGAGUGGCUGGCGGAGCUUCAGCCCCA